AAAAAAACCCAGACGAGGCCCGCUCGCACGAAAAGAAAUCAGACGAACCGGGAGCGAGCCCCCCUCGCACGAAGGCACGAACCAGAGCGAGGACCCCUCGUAUGAAAAAAUAUCUGACGAACGAGGCUGCCCUCGAUCUAUUCUCUACGACGACGGGAACAAUGCCCCAGCCGCCAUCGCGGAUCUAGAGGAACCGCAGCCGAGAUGCUAGAGGAGCCGACGCCGAGGUAAUAGAGGAUCCGUCGCCGCCUUCAUUGCACACCUCGAGGGCACCGUCGGGACACUGCUGCCGAGGUCUGCCAUCGCCGACGUCGAGGUCUGAGAGGGGCAUGACCCUAGGGAGAUCUUCGUCGAGGUUGCCGCCGCCGACGACGUCGCCUGCCCAAGGUGAGAUCCUAGGGCCUGUCUCCUCCUCUCCUUGCAGCACUAUGCUCUGUCGCGAGGCUGGCGGUGGGUCGAUGGACGGAGAGGAAAGGUAUGGUGUCGUUGAUCCGUCCUGCCUGUGGAUUCACUGGAUGCGUCUUGGUGGAGUGAGCGCUCAUGAGAUUCGAUCUGGUUGUUCUUUCCUUCAAGGUCGAUUUGGGGUCAGUAGAUUUGAUCUGGCAUAAGCUCUCCCUUGUUCUUUUGUGCUUGAAUCAGAUUUGGUGGUUCUCAAUCUUGGUCUUCUUUUGUAUGCAUGAUACACAACCGUGAGUGCUCCUCUCCCCUUUCCCUCCCUGCUAAAAUUCAGUUCCAAACACGAUCUGACGGUCUGAGCCCUAUUUGGUGUUGGUGCACUUUCUGAGUAAUUGUAUGUUCAAGAAUUGAUCUAAAUUUAAAGGAUAAGAAAGUUUACAUUUUCUUAUAUGGCUCAGACCGAAUAAAGUCUGAUCAGGUUUGCUGUUGGGUUGUUUGUAAUAUAAAAAACAACCAUAAUCAUCGAGGAGUGAGUCAUUCUCUCAUGGGGAUUUGUUUGCCUAAUAGUAGAAUUCCAAUUGCUUUUGGAUUUGUAUGAUGCAGCUUACAUACUCCCAUCACCCAGUAACAUAUCAAUAUCAGUUACUGCAUCUGGCCGGGUUUAUAUUAUGCAUCCCUACUGAAAGUUUCAUUGUUAAAUAGAAACGAAGAUUACAGUUAUAGAUGAUAGAUAUAUGUAAUUGUGUGCUGCAUUCUCACUGCUUCCAGUAGAUAGUAUCAUUUCAGAGUUCACCUAAAAUUUGCAAUGUUCAAAUUUUUGGGAUCAAAAUACAACUUUUUUUAAAUUUAAGCCAAUAUAAAGUGUGUGCAGGUUGACUUUUAAAACAUUUUUGCUUACAAGAAGGUUAUCAGUUGUAAUGUUUAGCACCUACAUAACCUGAUGGUCCUGUAGUGACUUGGGAUUGGCAACUAAAGAAACAUGGGUAUCGAGCAUAUUAAUGUGAGAAGUAGAUAUACAAUAUGUUAUAAAGGAGAAGACAAGUAAAUAUUGAGUGUGAAAGAUAAGUAUGAUUUUUUUACUAUCAUAUGAAUUAUUGAAUUUAAUCUGGUAUUCAACCCCUCAAAAUUAGAUUUAAUACAUGCUACUACACCAUUACAUAUCUCUACUAUUAAAGGAGAAUUUGACAAGUAAUCAAGCAAGUCAGCACUGUCGUCGAUGGAAGUUGUCGUGCGGAGAUGGAAGUUGACAAGUAAGUUUCUCCAUGAAGUUGAUCUGAUGCGAAGCUUGUGCCAGAUAAAAGGUUAAUUGAGUUCUCAUCUCCAAUAUGUUUGCAUUCUAACUAUCCUUGUUGAUUCAGUGGUUCCAUGAUGCUACAUUUCACUUGUUUUUCACCUCUUGAUGCUACUAUGGACGGAAGGCGUUUGCUAAUUUGCACAUUAAUUUUUUUUCUGAUAAAAUGUGCCAAUAUCACCUGCAUUAUGCUUUUUAAAUUAUUAAUCCCUGCUAUAAUGUAACGUGCCCACAUAACAAGUAUUCCGCAAUCUUCGCAAGCAUGUAUUUGUUUGUCUAACUGUAGGUGAAAGAACAAGAUCCACUGUGUGUGCAACGGCAACAAUAAAUAUCAUGUCAUUAGGGAGACUUCUGAUAAUUCUACUCUGCAUUUUUUUUCUUUAGUAGAAGUGUUCUGCCGCAUUAUUCAACUAUGUGUGACCAAUCUGACACACCUCACGAGUUCUAUAUAUAUAUAUAUAUGGACUGAGCAAUUGAUUCAGGUCUUUUUUCAAGUGGGGAUGCAGAUUGGGCAUCAAGGUGUACGACAGAGGAUGACAAACGAUUACGUUCUGCACGUUAGUCCGCGUACAACUUAAAAGUUGAUUGAUACUUUUCAUUUUAUAUUGAUGGUCCCUCCAGCGAGAACAAUUUUUUGACUCGAUGUGUAGAUAUGCUCUUUUAUUUGUGCGAAGUUGUUCAGACUUUUCUUUGAUUCAUUAUUUUAGCUGCAUACAAAAGGAGUAUGAGUACUGUUUGGUUCCAUGCAGGACCAACCAAGGAAGAGAAGCAAAUCACAACCCUUUAGUUCAUGGUCUAGGAGCAGGAAGAUACACAUCCAUCUUUGUGAUAUUCUGGUAUGAAUAUGCAUGGUACUACGUACAGAAUCCCUCAAUUGUGUAGAUAGGUCAUCAAGUAAUAGUUAGUAAUUCAUACUUCUGCUUCACCUUUUAGUUAAUUAUCCGCUUUCAAGUAUUUGUUGCCGAAGUGAGCAUCUAAUUGCAGGAAUUCUGUGAGGUAACCAUCUCAAUCUUUUUGUCACAAGGCUCUUGCGCGGUAGAGAUUUUUGCUUGGUCAUAAAUGAAUUAGUUCCAUUCUUUGACAGUAAGAGAAUGGAGCCAGAUGGAGGAACAUCAGCAUUGAUGCCAACAUUUCCAUUCUCUUGUUGUAGUAGUGUCUUAAUUGGAAGAAUAUUUUGAUGAUGUUGAUUGCUUUCUAUUCUCAUCUUUUCAUUAUUUUAGAUCACUUUCUCGAUAGUUCAAUACUAUAUUUUUGGGAUUAACUGUAACAUUAUGUGAAUAUAUGUUUAUAGUUCUAAAAUCAGUGUUCAUCAGCAAUCAGCCUUCUAACUAAAUAAUAUUUUCGCAAGGGCUUCUCUACACUGGUACGGUCUCUCGCUGGUACAUGAUUUGAGGCAUAGGAGGGAGGGGCACGUUGCGAUGUCGUCUUUGGUCACGGCUAUAGCUUAUGAGAAGAAUGGGAUUUAUGCUUGGGAGACUGCCCGUGGUUAGCAAGUCAUUAUUGCCGCCUCCGCUUCCCAAGUUGCCUCGGCUUGCUGUUGGUGUCUGCUGCUUCUGCAGCCCCUGCCGGCCGCCUCUUAGGUUGGGUUUUGCUACCACUACUGAAGUUUCCAUUGCCUCGGCAAGGCGUCGUCGUCUUACUUGCAAGGCACACAUUGCACCGCGGGCAACAUUUUGCUAUGCAUGGCCACUCAUGUCAAAGCUGGGUUCCAGUUUGACGACCUCUCUAUCAAGUCUCCAUGUUCUUCUUCCCGGUACUUUCUCCAUCUGCUGUUAUAGUCUCUUGCAAGUACGGCUUAUCCAGUUUGAUGUCAUGUUGCUUCGACAGUUGUGUAUUAACCCCUUAGGAAGAAGAGCGGGGAGAUGGAAGUUGUAGGCGUGUGCCCCCGGCCGACCGUCGUUAGACCAGUAUGAGCUAGCGGCGGUGGUCGUCGAGGACUCUAAGCAUCCGCGGAUUGUCGUGGCGUAGUGGUGCCACCGAGGGCACCAACAUCAGCAGUAGAUGCAACAACGGCGGCAACGAUAUGAUCUACUCCCUACAUUUCAUAAUGUAGUGCUCUUGAGAGGUGGAGCAUUAAAGAGCAAAUCAACUGGGCCCAGGCCUUCAUGGCUUCGUCCCCUACUUUCUACUGAUCCAUGCCAACUGCGUAGUUAUUUACUUUGGAAAGGCCUAGAUAUAUUUCACAUUUAACAGAAAAGUUCACACUGCAAUUGUCUGUACAAAGUUAUGUUUUGUUUUCAUUAUUUGUUUAUGUAACUCAUUUUUGGACUUGGUACUCAUUUGACAAUAGUGUUUUUAGAUGGUGCUGGGGAAUAGAUUCAGUUGAGUGGUGGAGUUAGCACUUGCUCAUGGUCAUGGAUGACUCUUCCUCGUCGAUGGAUGUAUGUUUAGUACUCCGUCAGUUUCAUAAUUCUUGUCGUGCUUUUAGUUCAAAGUAAAACCAUGUCAAGAAUUAUGGAAUGGAGGGAGUACUUAUUUGCCGAACCGGAGUUAAUACGUGCAUGGUGUGUGGUAACUACUCUUGCAUUUGAAUUUUUUGUGUGCGUUUAGUCUUUUAGAGGCUUUGUACUCUAUUGAUACACAUGUGGCAUAUCUGCAGGAUAGAUAAUGUUUCAUUGGUAGCCCACACAGUGCAUCUAGAGAAAACAAUUGCUUUCAUCGGCAUACGGGGAUAUAUUCUUCAGUGGACAUUCAGCUAGAAUACAUAUGAAUUUUCCAUAUACUUAAGAGUUUUUUCUCUCAAGGGAGCUGCAUUUUUUUAGAAAGGGAAUAACACAUAUUGGUUGUUUUCAUGGUAUUAGCCACCUCUAUUGUGUGUCUCAAUCAUUUAAAUUUUGGGCAUUGUACUAUCAUGGAUCAGUUUUGCAAUAAAUUGGUAGAAGUUUUUGCCCCCAAGAAUAUAAUGAGAAAUAUUUGCCGCAACUAAACUUUGCUGAGCAUGUCUAUUAACACUUUCCUCUUCUCCUAUUAGAUGUAAUGAUGUAGACCAAAGCAACCCUCAUGUAUAUUGAUACUAUACUAGAAGGCCACUGAAGAAUUUUACAGAACAAGAGAAGAUGGCGUGCACCAUAUCUUUAAGAUGACUUCCCUCACCAUGUGGCAUGCACUUUUCGGUUUUACUUUAGCGCAAUUGCCAUGUAUGUAAGGGAUGCAAUUAGGCUGAAUAUUGCAAUUGUAGUUUUUUCUAAACUUUUUCAACAUCCCAGCAUUAGUAAAAUACUCCCCCCAUUCCAUAAUGUAAGACUUUUUUGCAAGUUAUAUGUUUGUACAUUAUAUUGCUGGAAAUCAAGAAUUUACUCUUUUUGACUAA
Molecule: long non-coding RNA, 4997 nt
Organism: Triticum aestivum (bread wheat)
Lineage: Eukaryota; Viridiplantae; Streptophyta; Magnoliopsida; Poales; Poaceae
Exons: 2
Source: RefSeq, a predicted model, not a curated record